Molecule: ribosomal RNA, 490 nt
Filed under: uncultured bacterium
Lineage: Bacteria
Description: partial 16S ribosomal RNA
Rfam family: Bacterial small subunit ribosomal RNA
Source: RNAcentral
AUUGAACGCUGGCGGCAGGCCUAACACAUGCAAGUCGAACGGUAACAGGAAGAAGCUUGCUUCUUUGCUGACGAGUGGCGGACGGGUGAGUAAUGUCUGGGAAACUGCCUGAUGGAGGGGGAUAACUACUGGAAACGGUAGCUAAUACCGCAUAACGUCGCAAGACCAAAGAGGGGGACCUUCGGGCCUCUUGCCAUCGGAUGUGCCCAGAUGGGAUUAGCUAGUAGGUGGGGUAACGGCUCACCUAGGCGACGAUCCCUAGCUGGUCUGAGAGGAUGACCAGCCACACUGGAACUGAGGCACGGUCCAGACGCCUACGGGAGGCAGCAGUGGGGAAUAUUGCACAAUGGGCGCAAGCCUGAUGCAGCCAUGCCGCGUGUAUGAAGAAGGCCUUCGGGUUGUAAAGUACUUUCAGCGGGGAGGAAGGGAGUAAAGUUAAUACCUAUACUCAUUGACGUUACCCGCAGAAGAAGCACCGGCUAACUCCGUG